UCCUGUAACCCAGAUGCCAGAGGAAAUGCAAAGAAAGGAGUGCAAUGAAGAUUUAAAGGAACAAAGGAAAGUCUGGCAAAAGUUGAAAAUUGACUUAGAAUUGCUCUGCACUGAAUAAUCUGCUGUUGGGACUGCAGCAACGGAGUGCAUUCUCUCCGAACAUCAUGGGAAGAAAGCUGUCUAGACAGGAGGGAAUGCAAAAUGGAAAUUUGGUGGCAACAGUUUCUAUGACACAAGAUGAAGCCCCUUUCUCAAGAACACAGGCUCCCUGUGAGAACGUGUCAUCUCCUCAGGAAUAAGAAGGGGAAAGCAUAUCAGGAGCUGCAAAUGUUUCAAUGCUCCCGCUAUCAUCUCCGUCCUGGAGGCUGGCACAAAUAAAUGCAUUCGCAAUGAAAUGUCCUCUGAGCUCAUGCAGUCCUCCAGCACUGAAAGAGCUCAGCAAAAUGCAUGGAGGCAGACAAUGUCAGAGUCCAGGAAAGCACAAAAUGAAUGCAAGGACAGGAAACAUGCACAAGAGGACAGGUGGCGGGAGCAAGAGGAGAGGUGGCAGAAGCAAGAUGAUAGGUGGUGGCAGCGUGAUGAAAGGAGGCAGGAUGCAAUGCUGAGGCUACUGGAGGAUAAAACUGAUAUGCUCUGGCAUCUGGUGGCACUGCAGGAAAGGCAGCAGGAGCACAGACUGCUGCUGCAGCCCCUGUGUAACCAAUUGCCCUUCUCUCCUGAAAUAAACAGAUAGCUAAGGGUUAAUGUCUCUUUCACCUGUAAAGGGUUAACAAACAGUGACCUGCAAUACCUGACCAGAGGACCAAUCAGGAGACAAGAUACUUUCAAAUCUCGGUGGAGGGAAGCCUUUGUGUGUGUUUUUGGGUUUUGCUUUGUUCUCUCUGGACUCUGAGAGUGACCACACGACCCUACAGGUUCUCUAAUCUUCUAUUCCCAUUUUGCGAGUAAAAAGGUAGAAAGGCGGUAUAGUCUUUUUAUUUCUUUUCCUUUAUUUGCAAUUGUGUAGUUGCUGGAAGUAUUUUAAAUUGUAUUUGCUGGGGGGAGGCUUCUUUUUAGUUUCUAUAAGCUGACAGACCCUGU
Long non-coding RNA from Gopherus flavomarginatus (Mexican gopher tortoise), 1080 nucleotides. RefSeq lists it as uncharacterized. The record is from RefSeq and is a predicted model, not a curated record. The transcript has 3 exons. NCBI's taxonomy places the organism in Eukaryota, Metazoa, Chordata, Testudines, Testudinidae.